Molecule: ribosomal RNA, 424 nt
Filed under: Verrucomicrobiota bacterium
Lineage: Bacteria; Pseudomonadati; Verrucomicrobiota
Description: Verrucomicrobia bacterium partial 16S ribosomal RNA
Rfam family: Bacterial small subunit ribosomal RNA
Source: RNAcentral
UGAGGAAUAUUGGUCAAUCGACGCAAGUCUGAACCAGCCAAGUAGCGUGCAGGAUGACGGCCCUAUGGGUUGUAAACUGCUUUUAUAUGGGGAUAAAGUGGGGAACGUGUUCCCUUUUGCAGGUACCAUAUGAAUAAGGACCGGCUAAUUCCGUGCCAGCAGCCGCGGUAAUACGUAGGUGGCAAGCGUUGUCCGGAAUUAUUGGGCGGAAAGCGCGCGAAGGUGGUUUAGAAAGUCUGAUGUGAAAGCCCACGGCUCAACCGUGGAGGGUCAUUGGAAAAUAAUAAACUUGAGUGGAGGAGAGAAAAGUGGAAUUCCUAGUGUAGCGGUGAAAUGCGUAGAGAUUAGGAGGAACACCGGUGGCGAGAGAGGCUUUUUGGCCUGCAACUGACACUGAGGCGCGAAAGCGUGGGGAGCAAACAGG